Molecule: ribosomal RNA, 477 nt
Filed under: uncultured bacterium
Lineage: Bacteria
Description: partial 16S ribosomal RNA
Rfam family: Bacterial small subunit ribosomal RNA
Source: RNAcentral
GAUUAACGCUGGCGGCGUGCAUAACACAUGCAAGUCGAACGAUGAAACUUAGUAGACUUCUUCGGAAAGACACUAAGCGGAUUAGUGGCAAACGGGUGAGUAACGCGUGAGUAACCUGCCUUACACAAGGGGAUAGCCUUUGGAAACGAAGAAUAAUACCCUAUAAAACCAUAAAAGCACAUGCUAGAAUGGUCAAAGUGAUAGCGGUGUAAGAUGGACUUGCGUCUGAUUAGCUAGUUGGUGAGAUAAAAGCUCACCAAGGCAACGAUCAGUAGCCGGCUUGAGAGAGUGUACGGCCACAUUGGGACUGAGACACGGCCCAGACUCCUACGGGAGGCAGCAGUGGGGAAUUUUGCACAAUGGGGGAAACCCUGAUGCAGCGACGCCGCGUGAUUUAGAAGGCCUUCGGGUUGUAAAAAUCUUUUGUAUAGGAAGAAAAUGACAGUACUAUACGAAUAAGGUCCGGCUAAUUACGUG